GUCUUUAUGGAUUUUAUGUAAAGUCUGACCUGCCCAAUGUGUGAUUAAUGGCCGCGGUAUAUUGACCGUGCAAAGGUAGCAUAAUAACUUGUCUAUUAAAUGUGGUCUGGUAUGAAUGGUUUGAUGAAGGGGUAGUUUUAUUAAUGAUAGUUUGAAUUUUAAAUAUCAGUAAAAAUGCUGAUGUGAAGCAGAAAGACGAGAAGACCCUAUUAAGUUUUACCUUUAAGAAUUUUUUGGUGUUGGUGAUGUUAAGUUCUGUGGAGGUUUGGUUGGGGCGACUAUAGGUAAUGAAACACUUGUUUUAUUUUCUUUAUGAGAGUUUGUUGAUCCAGUAGUACUGAUUGUUAGAAUAAAUUACUAUAGGGAUAACAGCGUAAUUUUGUUGGAGAGUUCUUAUUGAUAACAGAGUUUGCGACCUCGAUGUUGGAUUAGGAUACCUGUAAGGCGCAGUAGCAUUAUAAGGAAGUCUGUUCGACUUUUAAAUUCCUACA
RNAcentral lists this ribosomal RNA (491 nucleotides) under Scolopendra afer. RNAcentral describes it as "partial 16S small subunit ribosomal RNA". It matches the Rfam family "Bacterial large subunit ribosomal RNA", at positions 1829 to 2600 of the family's 2925-position model. The record is from RNAcentral. Lineage: Eukaryota; Metazoa; Arthropoda; Chilopoda; Scolopendromorpha; Scolopendridae.